AUUUGUAUAUCCGCCUGUGAGACGCAGAUCAUUGAAACUUCGUCGGUAAUCAUGCCGCUGCCAAAGAGAAAAGGGAUUCAGGGCAUAUACAACUAUUUAGUUUAUGGACAAAAACUGAAUAAACGGACGAUAGAAAAUUUGAAGUUGGGCAGACUUACAAUAAUAGUUUUGUUAUUUUCCAUUGGGUUCAACAAAUUCACACAAAGAAAUAUGGGUCCGCCGAGGGUGUCUAAGUUGGAGUUAGAGGACACCGAGUCUGAAUCACCCGAACUUUUUCACAACUUGAACCACCACAACGACAGUGACCGUGCAAAAAAAGUGUGAAUCAAGCUGAAUUCCGACAGUGGUGAUCAAUGAUGAAAGAUUUUAGAAGAUGAUGUGUGAUCCGAAGAUUCUACUCACAAGUCCGAUGAUGGACAUGUACAGCUUACAUAAGAGUGUUGGACAAUUUGACAGCUCAUGUCCAUUUAAGGAUUCUUUUGAAGUUUAGUCAACGUUAGUAAAACUUUUUAUUUGAUGCUUCUAUCAUUGUUUAUACACCAGUGAACUUCCCAUUAUGAUCCAGAUCCAAUAUACAGCUGCUUCCAGCGGGAUUGGGCAGGGCAAGAAUGCUGUAAACCUGUAGUGGAACUUACCAUAAGCAUUAGCUUAAUUUGUGAUGUUAAUAAUAAAAAAUAUGAGGAAAACUUGAAGUAAAGUAAUUAUUAAUUAAUGAAAUCUAAGAAACUAGUGGCUAUAUAUCCUUAAAAUGUGAUAAAUAAAUCAUGAAUGUAAACACUGUGCUUGUGUAUUGAUUUAAAGAUUAGCCAUCCUGUUUAAGAUUCAAACUUUUAUCCAGUGAUUAUUACUGUCUUGUAUUAUCCUGAACGCUACUUGUGAAAAUAAUGAAAUUCAGCAGGAGUGGUUGUGAGGAUGAAUGCGUGAAUGUGUUUUCUUUUACAAAAUUGUAUGUAUGUCUAGCAGUGUAUAUGUACUUCAUCUCUUUUCUUCUCAGAAAAGCAUGUUUCUAAAUAAAUAAAAUGUGAUUGACAA
Molecule: long non-coding RNA, 1032 nt
Organism: Mizuhopecten yessoensis (Yesso scallop)
Lineage: Eukaryota; Metazoa; Mollusca; Bivalvia; Pectinida; Pectinidae
Exons: 2
Source: RefSeq, a predicted model, not a curated record